UUCCCCAGACUUAAAUGGGAUUGCUUCUAAGUUUUCAAGAUUAAGUAUAAUAUUGGCUAUAAAUUUUAUCUACUUAUUGUCUAUACUUGAACAACUGGAGAAUUUUUUUCUAUGUCUUGUUUAGAUAAUUUUUGUUAAAAUAAAUGGGUUGCUUUUUUCCCUAAAUGCUUUAAGAAUCUAUUGAAAUCAUUAUAUGACUUUUUUCAUUUAAUGUUUUAUUAUAGUGAAUUCCAUUAAUAAAAUUCCUGGUGUUGCAUUUCUGACAUAAACAAUGAUUAGUAAAAUUAUAUUUUUUCAAAAGCAUUGACUAUUUUUUGUUAAGUUCUUGCCACUUAAAAAUCUGUUUAUCUGGAUAUGGUAGCAUACCACUAUAAUCCCAGUGACCAGGGAGGCUGAGGCAGGAAGAUGGCAAAUUCAAGGUCAGUUUUAGCAACUUCAUGAAAUCUGUCCCCAAAUAAAAAAUUUAAAAAGGGCUGUGCAUGUAGCUCAGUGGUAAAGCACCCCUGGGUUCAAUGCCCAGGACUAAAAAAUAAAUAAAUUUUAAAAUGUAAGUAAAUAAAUAAAUAUGUAUGUUUGUAAAUGGAAAUGAAUGACAGUGUUUGUGUGUGUGAGUGAGUGUGCUUGCACAUACAUUUGUAUCAAGUUUAAUAUUUGUAUGUCUUUGGAAUCACCAUUACACUGGAGUCAAUAAUAGUAAUUAAAAAAAUCAAAUCAGUAGUUAAAAUUUCCCAGUUUGAUACUAUUAAACCUUUAACUAAUUUACAAUCUUAUACAUAUUCUUCUGCAAAAUGGGAAAUGGAAAACUCUAUGAAACUAGUCUUAGGAAGCUAGAAUGAUCUGGAUUCUUAGAUAAGUCAAAAUUUAAACACACAUACACAUACACACACACACACAUCCAAUUUCUGGUUAGAAAAAGAUUUCUUAAAUAAAACUAAAGAAGUAAGGGGAAUUAAGUAGAUAAAAUUGAACACAUUAAAAUAAGAAGUUUUAUUCAUUGCAGGGUUUAAAGAAGUAUGAAGAUACUUUCAAAGUAUAUGCUUCACAAGGGUCAAGAUCAAAAAUGUAUUUUAGAAAAAACUAGAAUCAAUAACAAAAAAAAAUUUACAGGUAUGGGCAAAAGUAAUAAUUCUGACAAAUACUGUAAAAACAUCAAGCAACUAUAAUUUUAUACAUUUCUGGUGAGACUAUAAAUUCAUGCACCCAUUUAGCAAAACAAUCGGUCAUUAUCUUUUUUAAAAAAUAUUUUUAUAGUUGUCAAUGGACUUUAUUUUGUUUAUUUAUAUGUGGUGCUGAAAAUCGAACUCAGUGCCUCACACAUGCUAGGCAAGCAUUCUAAUACUGAGCCACAAUCCCAGGCUGGUCAGGUCAUUAUCUUUUAAUAUUGAAUAGGCAUAUACUCUAAAACCUGUUCAAAGGAAUACACCCAAUGCACUGAGAUGUGUUCAAGAGUAUUGAUGGUAGCAACAUUUCUGAUAGCAAAACUUUAAAAAUAAACAGAAGUCCGUUGGUAAGACAGUGAAUUUUAAUAUAUUCAUACAAUACACCCUGUGAAUUAAUUAAAAAGACUUGAGUAGAGCUAUGUAUAUUUAAAUAUGUCUCAUGAGCAGAGUGUUGAAAAAGACAAGAUGCAUUAAAACCAUAUAGCAUAACACUUUCAGGAAGGCCAAAGACAUGUAUUUAAAAUAUAAAUAGAACAUUGUGUAGGAAGUCAUACAUUAUGAUGGUAAACAAAGAAAAGAUGCGUACAAUUGUUAGAAGUCUGUCUACUCUUGGGAGGUUAUAGGGGAACUGGUAUAGGGAGGAAAGGUGUACAACACUUGGGGCACUUCAACAGUACUGCUGAUGUCCAGUUAGUCUUAUAGAAGGUUGAUGAGUAUUUUAAAAAUUGUUUUUAUACCUUAAACCUCUAUCUUAUUUAUGUUCUUUAAGAUACACAGAAUAUUCCAUAAUAAUAAAAAUUAAAUUUCACAUUUGCACUGGCUAUGUAAUGUAUUUUAAUUGUUUAUCAACCUCCUAAAAACGCUGUCCUGAAAACUAUGAUUUAUUCAAAGGUAUUAUAAACUAAUUAAAUUUUAAGAUGGUGUUCAGAGGUCUCAAGUUCUUGCAAAUGAUUGUGCUUUUUGAAAAGGUACCUUAUGAACAACUAAUUAAAAUAUUUAAUUGAAAAUAUUAAACUUACACUGGCAAAAAAAAAGUGUAAACCCA
Molecule: long non-coding RNA, 2205 nt
Filed under: Marmota monax (woodchuck)
Lineage: Eukaryota; Metazoa; Chordata; Mammalia; Rodentia; Sciuridae
Source: RNAcentral